CCUGGUGGCUCAGAUGGUAAAGCAUCUGCCUACAGUGCAGGAGACCUGGGUUCGAUCCCUGGGUCAGGA
Ovis aries (sheep) is the source of this 69-nucleotide transfer RNA. It matches the Rfam family "tRNA". Rfam says of the family: Transfer RNA (tRNA) molecules are approximately 80 nucleotides in length. Their secondary structure includes four short double-helical elements and three loops (D, anti-codon, and T loops). Lineage: Eukaryota; Metazoa; Chordata; Mammalia; Artiodactyla; Bovidae. The record is from Rfam.